CCUACGGGAGGCAGCAGUGGGGAAUAUUGCACAAUGGGGGAAACCCUGAUGCAGCGACGCCGCGUGAGUGAAGAAGUAAUUCGUGAUGUAAAGCUCUAUCAGCAGGGAAGAAAAUGACGGUACCUGAGUAAGAAGCCCCGGCUAACUACGUGCCAGCAGCCGCGGUAAUACGUAGGGGGCAAGCGUUAUCCGGAUUUACUGGGUGGAAAGGGAGCGUAGACGGCAGUGCAAGGCUGGUGUGAAAGGCGCGGGCUAAACCCCCGGACUGCUCUGGAAACUGUACGGCUGGAGUGCAGGAGAGGGAAGUGGAAUUCCUAGUGUAGCGGUGAAAUGCGUAGAUAUUAGGAAGAACACCAGUGGCGAAGGCAGCUUACUGGACUGUAACUGACGUUGAGGCUCGAAAGCGUGGGGAGCAAACAGGAUUAGAUACCCCAGUAGUC
This 440-nucleotide ribosomal RNA is filed under the name uncultured bacterium. Its description in RNAcentral is "partial 16S ribosomal RNA". It matches the Rfam family "Bacterial small subunit ribosomal RNA", at positions 338 to 795 of the family's 1533-position model. The record is from RNAcentral.